UGUGUAUACAAUUCCAAAGCUUUUAAGUAAGGAAUUGGUGUGUGUUUUAUGAAGUGUGUCUUCACCUAUUGAAUCUAGAAGUGUACGAUCACAGUGGCUGUGAUUAAGAGGAGGUGAGCGGAGGCUCUCAUACCUAGGUGUGUCUUAGGUAGGAUAUAGCACGGGUGGUGAUUAGGUGAGAAGUCAUAAACGGGAGGUUUAUUGAGGGCUUCAAACUAAUACUAUCAUAGUGGAUUC
Molecule: long non-coding RNA, 237 nt
Filed under: Trifolium pratense (red clover)
Lineage: Eukaryota; Viridiplantae; Streptophyta; Magnoliopsida; Fabales; Fabaceae
Description: long non-coding RNA (TPRA_LNC006960)
Source: RNAcentral